GACGAACGCUGGCGGCGUGCUUAACACAUGCAAGUCGAACGAAGAGCGAUGGCUGCUUGCUUCUAUCAAUCUUAGUGGCGAACGGGUGAGUAACGCGUAAUCAACCUGCCCUUCAGAGGGGGCCUACAGUUGGAAACGACUGCUCAUACCGCAUACGAUCGAAUCUCGGCAUCGGUACUGGAUGAAAGGUGGCCUCUAUUUAUAAGCUAUCACUGCAGGAGGGGAUUGCGGCUGAUUAGCAAGUUGGAGGGGUAACGUCCCACCAAGGCGAUGAUCAGGAGCCGGACGGAGAGGAUGAACGGCCACAUUGGGACGGUGACACGGCCCAGACGCCUACAGGAAGCAGCAAGAGGGAAACGUCCGCAAGGGGCGGAAGACUGACGGAACAACGCCGCAGGAUGGAGGACGGCCGUCGGGUUGGAAAUGUCGGUUAAUCGGGACGAAUGGGUUUUGUGCUAAUAGGGCGAGGAUUUGACGGUACCGGAAGAAAAAGCCACGGCUAACUACGUG
Molecule: ribosomal RNA, 510 nt
Filed under: uncultured bacterium
Lineage: Bacteria
Description: partial 16S ribosomal RNA
Rfam family: Bacterial small subunit ribosomal RNA
Source: RNAcentral